Molecule: ribosomal RNA, 497 nt
Filed under: uncultured bacterium
Lineage: Bacteria
Description: partial 16S ribosomal RNA
Rfam family: Bacterial small subunit ribosomal RNA
Source: RNAcentral
GAUGAACGCUGGCGGCGUGCCUAAUACAUGCAAGUCGAGCGAACAGACGAGGAGCUUGCUCCUCUGACGUUAGCGGCGGACGGGUGAGUAACACGUGGAUAACCUACCUAUAAGACUGGGAUAACUUCGGGAAACCGGAGCUAAUACCGGAUAAUAUAUUGAACCGCAUGGUUCAAUAUUGAAAGACGGUUUUGCUUUCACUUAUAGAUGGAUCCGCGCCGCAUUAGCUAGUUGGUAAGGUAACGGCUUACCAAGGCAACGAUGCGUAGCCGACCUGAGAGGGUGAUCGGCCACACUGGAACUGAGACACGGUCCAGACUCCUACGGGAGGCAGCAGUAGGGAAUCUUCCGCAAUGGGCGAAAGCCUGACGGAGCAACGCCGCGUGAGUGAUGAAGGUCUUCGGAUCGUAAAACUCUGUUAUUAGGGAAGAACAAAUGUGUAAGUAACUAUGCACGUCUUGAAGGUACCUAAUCAGAAAGCCAAGGCUAACUACGUG